ACAUAGAAAAGGUCAUAAACUGUGCUCUUUUCCCCAUGGGGCCCAGUGUGCGAUGGCUGCACAUGGCAGCCUCCUCAGUAGGGUAUACUGCCUGAAUGCCUGCUCCAGUUGCCCCAAGGGGCCUUGGAGACAGUC
This 135-nucleotide small nucleolar RNA is filed under the name Moschus moschiferus (Siberian musk deer). RNAcentral describes it as "Small nucleolar RNA SNORA70 (ENSMMSG00000007619.1)". It matches the Rfam family "Small nucleolar RNA SNORA70". From Rfam's summary of the family: snoRNA U70 seems to be exclusive to mammals and is a member of the H/ACA class of snoRNA which contain H (ANANNA) and ACA box motifs. H/ACA box snoRNAs are involved in the conversion of uridines to pseudouridines (5-ribosyluracil) a constituent of structural RNAs (transfer, ribosomal, small nuclear, and small nucleolar). The record is from Rfam by way of RNAcentral. Lineage: Eukaryota; Metazoa; Chordata; Mammalia; Artiodactyla; Moschidae.